Molecule: ribosomal RNA, 2903 nt
Filed under: Escherichia coli DEC13E
Lineage: Bacteria; Pseudomonadati; Pseudomonadota; Gammaproteobacteria; Enterobacterales; Enterobacteriaceae
Description: bacterial LSU rRNA
Rfam family: Bacterial large subunit ribosomal RNA
Source: RNAcentral
UUAAGCGACUAAGCGUACACGGUGGAUGCCCUGGCAGUCAGAGGCGAUGAAGGACGUGCUAAUCUGCGAUAAGCGUCGGUAAGGUGAUAUGAACCGUUAUAACCGGCGAUUUCCGAAUGGGGAAACCCAGUGUGUUUCGACACACUAUCAUUAACUGAAUCCAUAGGUUAAUGAGGCGAACCGGGGGAACUGAAACAUCUAAGUACCCCGAGGAAAAGAAAUCAACCGAGAUUCCCCCAGUAGCGGCGAGCGAACGGGGAGCAGCCCAGAGCCUGAAUCAGUGUGUGUGUUAGUGGAAGCGUCUGGAAAGGCGCGCGAUACAGGGUGACAGCCCCGUACACAAAAAUGCACAUGCUGUGAGCUCGAUGAGUAGGGCGGGACACGUGGUAUCCUGUCUGAAUAUGGGGGGACCAUCCUCCAAGGCUAAAUACUCCUGACUGACCGAUAGUGAACCAGUACCGUGAGGGAAAGGCGAAAAGAACCCCGGCGAGGGGAGUGAAAAAGAACCUGAAACCGUGUACGUACAAGCAGUGGGAGCACAGAGCAAUCUGUGUGACUGCGUACCUUUUGUAUAAUGGUCAGCGACUUAUAUUCUGUAGCAAGGUUAACCGAAUAGGGGAGCCGAAGGGAAACCGAGUCUUAACUGGGCGUUAAGUUGCAGGGUAUAGACCCGAAACCCGGUGAUCUAGCCAUGGGCAGGUUGAAGGUUGGGUAACACUAACUGGAGGACCGAACCGACUAAUGUUGAAAAAUUAGCGGAUGACUUGUGGCUGGGGGUGAAAGGCCAAUCAAACCGGGAGAUAGCUGGUUCUCCCCGAAAGCUAUUUAGGUAGCGCCUCGUGAAUUCAUCUCCGGGGGUAGAGCACUGUUUCGGCAAGGGGGUCAUCCCGACUUACCAACCCGAUGCAAACUGCGAAUACCGGAGAAUGUUAUCACGGGAGACACACGGCGGGUGCUAACGUCCGUCGUGAAGAGGGAAACAACCCAGACCGCCAGCUAAGGUCCCAAAGUCAUGGUUAAGUGGGAAACGAUGUGGGAAGGCCCAGACAGCCAGGAUGUUGGCUUAGAAGCAGCCAUCAUUUAAAGAAAGCGUAAUAGCUCACUGGUCGAGUCGGCCUGCGCGGAAGAUGUAACGGGGCUAAACCAUGCACCGAAGCUGCGGCAGCGACGCUUAUGCGUUGUUGGGUAGGGGAGCGUUCUGUAAGCCUGCGAAGGUGUGCUGUGAGGCAUGCUGGAGGUAUCAGAAGUGCGAAUGCUGACAUAAGUAACGAUAAAGCGGGUGAAAAGCCCGCUCGCCGGAAGACCAAGGGUUCCUGUCCAACGUUAAUCGGGGCAGGGUGAGUCGACCCCUAAGGCGAGGCCGAAAGGCGUAGUCGAUGGGAAACAGGUUAAUAUUCCUGUACUUGGUGUUACUGCGAAGGGGGGACGGAGAAGGCUAUGUUGGCCGGGCGACGGUUGUCCCGGUUUAAGCAUGUAGGCUGGUUUUCCAGGCAAAUCCGGAAAAUCAAGGCUGAGGCGUGAUGACGAGGCACUACGGUGCUGAAGCAACAAAUGCCCUGCUUCCAGGAAAAGCCUCUAAGCAUCAGGUAACAUCAAAUCGUACCCCAAACCGACACAGGUGGUCAGGUAGAGAAUACCAAGGCGCUUGAGAGAACUCGGGUGAAGGAACUAGGCAAAAUGGUGCCGUAACUUCGGGAGAAGGCACGCUUAUAUGUAGGUGAAGUCCCUCGCGGAUGGAGCUGAAAUCAGUCGAAGAUACCAGCUGGCUGCAACUGUUUAUUAAAAACACAGCACUGUGCAAACACGAAAGUGGACGUAUACGGUGUGACGCCUGCCCGGUGCCGGAAGGUUAAUUGAUGGGGUUAGCGCAAGCGAAGCUCUUGAUCGAAGCCCCGGUAAACGGCGGCCGUAACUAUAACGGUCCUAAGGUAGCGAAAUUCCUUGUCGGGUAAGUUCCGACCUGCACGAAUGGCGUAAUGAUGGCCAGGCUGUCUCCACCCGAGACUCAGUGAAAUUGAACUCGCUGUGAAGAUGCAGUGUACCCGCGGCAAGACGGAAAGACCCCGUGAACCUUUACUAUAGCUUGACACUGAACAUUGAGCCUUGAUGUGUAGGAUAGGUGGGAGGCUUUGAAGUGUGGACGCCAGUCUGCAUGGAGCCGACCUUGAAAUACCACCCUUUAAUGUUUGAUGUUCUAACGUGGACCCGUAAUCCGGGUUGCGGACAGUGUCUGGUGGGUAGUUUGACUGGGGCGGUCUCCUCCUAAAGAGUAACGGAGGAGCACGAAGGUUGGCUAAUCCUGGUCGGACAUCAGGAGGUUAGUGCAAUGGCAUAAGCCAGCUUGACUGCGAGCGUGACGGCGCGAGCAGGUGCGAAAGCAGGUCAUAGUGAUCCGGUGGUUCUGAAUGGAAGGGCCAUCGCUCAACGGAUAAAAGGUACUCCGGGGAUAACAGGCUGAUACCGCCCAAGAGUUCAUAUCGACGGCGGUGUUUGGCACCUCGAUGUCGGCUCAUCACAUCCUGGGGCUGAAGUAGGUCCCAAGGGUAUGGCUGUUCGCCAUUUAAAGUGGUACGCGAGCUGGGUUUAGAACGUCGUGAGACAGUUCGGUCCCUAUCUGCCGUGGGCGCUGGAGAAUUGAGGGGGGCUGUUCCUAGUACGAGAGGACCGGAGUGGACGCAUCACUGGUGUUCGGGUUGUCAUGCCAAUGGCACUGCCCGGUAGCUAAAUGCGGAAGAGAUAAGUGCUGAAAGCAUCUAAGCACGAAACUUGCCCCGAGAUGAGUUCUCCCUGACUCCUUGAGAGUCCUGAAGGAACGUUGAAGACGACGACGUUGAUAGGCCGGGUGUGUAAGCGCAGCGAUGCGUUGAGCUAACCGGUACUAAUGAACCGUGAGGCUUAACCUU